UGCUCAUGCCAUUGUACAGAACACUGGUGAGACCUCACUUGGAGUAUUGUACACAGUACUGGAGACCGUAUCUCAGAAGGAUAUUGAUACCUUAGAGAGGGUUCAGAGAAGGGCUACUAAACUGGUUCAUGGAUUGCAGGAUAAAACUUACCAGGAAAGGUUAAAGGAUCUUAACAUAUAUAGCUUGGAGGAAAGACAAGACAGGGGGGAUA
Molecule: non-coding RNA, 212 nt
Organism: Pelobates cultripes (western spadefoot toad)
Lineage: Eukaryota; Metazoa; Chordata; Amphibia; Anura; Pelobatidae
Source: the annotation of a GenBank genome assembly